RNAcentral lists this ribosomal RNA (496 nucleotides) under uncultured bacterium. RNAcentral's name for it is "partial 16S ribosomal RNA". It matches the Rfam family "Bacterial small subunit ribosomal RNA", at positions 28 to 506 of the family's 1533-position model. The record is from RNAcentral.
GAUGAACGCUGGCGGCGUGCCUAAUACAUGCAAGUCGAGCGAACAGACGAGGAGCUUGCUCCUUCGACGUUAGCGGCGGACGGGUGAGUAACACGUAGGUAACCUACCUAUAAGACUGGGAUAACUUCGGGAAACCGGAGCUAAUACCGGAUAAUAUUUCGAACCGCAUGGUUCGAUAGUGAAAGAUGGCUUUGCUAUCACUUAUAGAUGGACCUGCGCCGUAUUAGCUAGUUGGUAAGGUAACGGCUUACCAAGGCAACGAUACGUAGCCGACCUGAGAGGGUGAUCGGCCACACUGGAACUGAGACACGGUCCAGACUCCUACGGGAGGCAGCAGUAGGGAAUCUUCCGCAAUGGGCGAAAGCCUGACGGAGCAACGCCGCGUGAGUGAUGAAGGUCUUCGGAUCGUAAAACUCUGUUAUUAGGGAAGAACAAACGUGUAAGUAACUGUGCACGUCUUGACGGUACCUAAUCAGAAAGCCUCGGCUAACUACGU